This 366-nucleotide ribosomal RNA is filed under the name uncultured Tomentella. Its description in RNAcentral is "eukaryotic LSU rRNA". The stretch from base 1 to 103 matches the Rfam family "5.8S ribosomal RNA", at positions 53 to 154 of the family's 154-position model. The record is from RNAcentral. Lineage: Eukaryota; Fungi; Basidiomycota; Agaricomycetes; Thelephorales; Thelephoraceae.
AUGCGAUAAGUAAUGUGAAUUGCAGAAUUCAGUGAAUCAUCGAAUCUUUGAACGCACCUUGCGCCCUUUGGCUAUUCUGAAGGGCAUGCCUGUUUGAGUAUCAUGAACACCUCAACUCUCAUGGUUUUCCAUGAUGAGCUUGGACUUUGGAGGUCUUGCUGGCCUGUGGCCAGCUCCUCUCAAAUGGAUCAGCUUGCCAGUGUUUGGUGGCAUCACAGGUGUGAUAACUAUCUGCGCUUGUGGUUCUCCACCGGAUAACCUUCAUCAAUGGAGGUUUGCACAGGGGCUCACAAAUGUCUCUCCUCAGUGAGGACAGCUUUUUGAACGUUUGAUCUCAAAUCAGGUAGGACUACCCGCUGAACUUAA